GGCUGGUCCGAGUACAGUGGUGUUUACAACUAAUUGAUCACAAUCAGUUACAGAUUUCUUUGUUCCUUCUCCACUACCACUGCUUCACUUGACUAGCCUUAA
Callithrix jacchus (white-tufted-ear marmoset) is the source of this 102-nucleotide Y RNA. It matches the Rfam family "Y RNA". From Rfam's summary of the family: Y RNAs are components of the Ro ribonucleoprotein particle (Ro RNP), in association with Ro60 and La proteins. The Y RNAs and Ro60 and La proteins are well conserved, but the function of the Ro RNP is not known. Lineage: Eukaryota; Metazoa; Chordata; Mammalia; Primates; Cebidae. The record is from Ensembl.